This 257-nucleotide ribosomal RNA is filed under the name uncultured bacterium. RNAcentral's name for it is "partial small subunit ribosomal RNA". It matches the Rfam family "Bacterial small subunit ribosomal RNA", at positions 26 to 285 of the family's 1533-position model. The record is from RNAcentral.
AGGACGAACGCUGGCGGCGUGCUUAACACAUGCAAGUCGAGCGGAAAGGCCCUUCGGGGUACUCGAGCGGCGAACGGGUGAGUAACACGUGAGCAACCUGCCCUUAGCUUCGGGAUAGCUCCGGGAAACCGGAAUUAAAUACCGGAUAGUGACUAUGGCCGACAUCAGCCAUGGUGGAAAGUUUUUCGGCUAGGGAUGGACUCGCGGCCUAUCAGCUAGUUGGUGAGGUAACGGCUCACCAAGGCGACGACGGGGUA